Long non-coding RNA from Bombina bombina (fire-bellied toad), 5141 nucleotides. RefSeq lists it as uncharacterized. The record is from RefSeq and is a predicted model, not a curated record. The transcript is spliced from 3 exons. NCBI's taxonomy places the organism in Eukaryota, Metazoa, Chordata, Amphibia, Anura, Bombinatoridae.
GGGACUAGGAGUGGGACACAGUGACUCACUGAGGGCAUGGGGGCACAGAGACUGAGGGCAUGGGCUGGCAUGGGGGCACAGAGACUGAAGGCAUGUGCUGGCAUAGGGGGUACAGAGACUGAGGGCAUGGGGGCACAGAGACUGAAGGCAUGUGCUGGCAUGGGGGGUACAGAGACUGAGGGCAUGUGCUGGCAUGGGGUCACAGAGACUGAGGGCAUGUGCUGGCAUGAGGGUACAGAGACUGAGGGCAUGCGCUGGCAUGGGGGACACAGAGACUGAAGACAUAGUGGGCACAGAGACUGAGGGCAUCUGCUGGCAUAGGGGCACAGAGACUGAGGGCAAUGUCCUGGCAUGGGGGCACAGAGACUGAGGGCAUGUGCUGGCAUGGGGGCACAGAGACUGAGUGCAUGUGCUGUCAUGGGGGGCACAGAGAAUGAGGGCAUGUGCUAGCAAUGGGGGCACAGAGAUUGAUGGUACAGCCUGGUAUGGAGGAUACAGUCAGGGGGCACACAGCCUGGUAUGGAGAAUACAGCCAGGGGGCACACAGCCUGGUAUGGAGGAUACAGUCAGAGGGCACACAGCCUGGUAUGGAGAAUACAGCCAGGGGGCACACAGCCUGGUAUGGAAGAUACAGUCAGGGGCACACAGCCUGGUAUGGAGGAUACAGCCAGGGGGCACACAGCCUGGUAUGGAGGAUACAGCUAGGAGGCACACAGCCUGGUAUGGAGGAUACAGCCAGGGGGCACACAGCCUGGUAUGGAGGAUACAGCCAGGGGGCACACAGCCUGGUAUGGAGGAUACAGCCUGGUAUGGAGGAUCCAGCCAGGGGGCACACAGCCUGGCAUGGAGGAUACAGCCAAGGGGCACACAGCCUGGUAUGGAGGAUACAGCCAAUGGGCACACAACUUGGUAUGUAGGAUACAGCCAGGGGAAUGCAGCCUGGUAUGGAGGAUACAGCCAGGGGGCACACAGCCUAGUAUGGAGGAUACAGUCAGUUGGCACACAGCCUUGUAUGUAGGAUUCAGCCAGGGGCACAAAGCCUGGUAUGGAGGAUACAGCCAGGGGGCACACAGCCUAGUAUGGAGGAUACAGCCAGAGGGAACACAGCCUGGUAUAGAGGAUACAGCAAGGGGGCACAAAGCCUUAUAUGGAGGAUACAGUACAGUUAGGGGGCACACAGCCUGGUAUAGAGGAUACAGCCAGGGGACACACAGCCUGGUAUGGAGGAUACAGUCAGGGGGCACACAGCCUGGUAUGGAGGAUAUAGCCAGGGGCACACAGCCUGGUAUGGAGUAUACAGCCAGGGGGCACACAGCCUGGUAUAGAGCAUACAGCCAAGGGGCACAUAAUACAGCCAUGGGGCACACAGGCUGAUAUAGAGGAUACAGCCAGGGGGCACACAGUCUGGUAUGGAGGAUACAGCCAGGGGGCACAAAGCCUGGUAUGAACGAUACAGCCGGGAACCACACAGCCUGGUAUGGAGGAUACAGUCAGGGGUCACACAGCCUGGUAUGGAGGAUACAGCCGGAAGUACCUUGCCUGGUAUGGAGGAUACAGCCGGGGGCACACAGCCUGGUAUGGAGGAUACACCUGGGGGUACACAGCCUGGUAUGGAGGAUACAGCCAGGGGCACAAAGCCUGGUAUCGAGGAUAAAGCCAGGGGGUAGAAAGCCUGGUAUGUAGGAUACAGCCAGGGGGGCACACAGCUUGGUAUGGAGGAUACAGCCCGGGGCCACACAGCCUGGUAUGGAGGAUACAGCCAGGGGGCACACAGUCUGGUAUGGAGGAUACACCCGGGGGCCACACUGUCUGGUAUGUAGGAUACAGCAAGAGGGCACACAGCCUGGUAUGUAGAAUACAGCCAGGGUGCACACAUGCUGGUAUGUAGGAUUCAGCCAGGAGGACACACAGCCUGGUAUGGAGGAUACAGCCAGGGGGCACGCAGCCUGGUAUGUAGGAUUCAGUCAGGGGGCACACAGCCUGGUAUGGAGGAUACAGCCAAGAGCACAAAGCCUGGUAUGGAGGAUACAGCCAGGGGACACACAUUCUGGUAUGGAGGAUACAGCCAGGGGGCACACAGUCUGGUAUGGAGGAUGCAGCCAGGGGGCACAAAGCCUGCUAUGGAGGAUACAGCCAGGGGCACAAAGCCUGGUAUGGAGGAUACAGCCAGGUGACACACAUUCUGGUAUGGAAGAUACAGCCAGGGGGCACACAGCCUGGUAUGGAGGAUUCAGCCAGGGGGCACACAGCCUGCUAUGAAGGAUACAGCCAGGGGGCACACAGCCUGCUAUGGAGGAUACAGCCAGGGGGCACACAGCCUGCUAUGGAGGGUACAGCCAGCGGGCACACAGCCUGGUAUGUAGGAUUCAGGCAGGGACACAAAGCCUGGUAUAGAGGAUACAGCCAGGGGGCACACAGCCUGGUAUGGAGGAUACAGCCAGGGGGCACACAGCCUGGUAUGGAGGAUACAGCCAGGGGGCACAAAUCCUGGUAUGGAGGAUACAGCCAGGGGGCACACAGCCUGGUAUGGAGGAUACAGCCAGGGAGCACACAGCCUGGUAUGGAGGAUACAGCCAGGGGACACACAGCCAGGUAUGGAGGAUACAGCCAAGGGGCACACAGCCAGGUAUGGAGGAUACAGCGAGGGGCACAAAGCCUGGUAUGGAGGAUACAGCCAGGUGGCACACAGCCUGGUAUGGAGGAUACAGUCAGGGGGCACACAGCCUGGUAUAGAGGAUAAAGCCAGGGGGCACACAGGCUGGUAUGGAGGAUACAGUCAGGGGGCACAUAAUACAGCCAGGGGCACGCAUACUGAUAUAGAGGAUACAGCCAGGGGGCACACAGUCUGGUAUGGAGGAUACAGCCAGGCAGCACAAAGCCUGGCAUGGGGGACACAAUCAGGGGGCACACAGCCUGGUAUGAAUGAUACAGUCAGGGGGGCACAAAGCCUGGUAUGGAGGAUACAGUCAGGGGGGGACAAAGCCUGGUAUGGAGGAUACAGCCAGGGGGCACACAGCCUGGUAUGAAGGAUACAGUCAGGGGGGCACAAAGCAUGGUAUGGAGGAUACAGUCAGGGGGCACAAAGCCUGGUAUGGAGGAUACAGCCAGGGGGCACACAGUCUGAUAUGAGGAUACAGCCAGGGGGAACACAGCCUGGUAUGGAGGAUACAGCCAGGGGCCACACAGCCUGGUAUGGAGGAUACAGCCAGGGGGCACACAACCUGGUAUGGAUGAUACAAUCAGGGGGCACACAGCCUGGUAUAGAGGAUACAGUCAGGGGGCACACAGCCUGGUACAGAAGAUAGAGCCAGGGGGCACACAGCCUGGUAUGAAGGAUACAGCCAGGGGGCACACAGCCUGGUAUGGAGGAUACAACCAGGGGGCACAAAGCAUGGCAUGGAGUAUACAGUCAGGGGAGCACACAGCCUGGUAUGGAGGAUACAGUCAGGGGGCACACAGCCUGGUAUGGAGGAUACAGUCAGAGGGCACACAGCCUGGUAUAGAGGAUACAGUCAGGGGGCACACAGCCUGGUACAGAAGAUACAGCCAGGGGGCACACAGCCUGGUAUGAAGGAUACAGCCAGGGGGCACACAGCCUGGUAUGGAGGAUACAGCCAGGGGGCACAAAGCAUGGCAUGGAGUAUACAGUCAGGGGGCACACAGCCUGGUAUGGAGGAUACAGUCAGAGGGCACACAGCCUGGUAUGGAGGAUACAGCUAGAGGGCACACAGUCUGGUAUGGAGGAUACAGCCAGGGGGGCAUACAGCUUGGUAUGGAGGAUACAGCCAGGAGGUACCAAGCCUGGUAUGGAGGAUACAGCUGGGGGCACACAGCCUGGUAUGGAGGAUACAGCUAGGGGUACACAGCCUAGUAUGGAGGAUACAGCCUGGGGCACAAAGCCUGGUAUGAAGGAUACAGCCAGGGGGGGCACAUUCUGGUAUGGUGGAUACAGCCAGGGGGCAGAAAGCCUGGCAUGGAGGAUACAGUCAGGGGGCACACAGCUUGGUAUGGAGGAUACAGUCAGGGGGCACACAGCCUGGUAUGGAGGAUACAGCCAGGGGGCACACAGCCUGGUAUGGAGGAUACAGCCAGGGAAUGCACAGUGGUACAGCCAGGUGGCACUAAGCCUGAUAGGUAGGACAGAGCCAGGGGGCACAAAGCCUGGCAUGGAGGAUACAGUCAGGGGGCACAAUGCCUGGUAUGGAGGAUACAGUCAGGGGGGACAAAGCCUGGUAUGGAGGAUACAGCCAGGGUGCACACGGGUCUGGUAAGAAUGAUACAGUAAGGGAGCACACAGCCUGGUAUGGAGGAUACAGCCAGGGGGCACAAAGCCUGGUAUGGAGGAUAUAGCCAGGGGCCACACAGCCUGGUAUGGAGGAUACAGCCAGGGGGCACAAAGCCUGGUAUGGAGGAUAGAACCAGGGGACAUGACCAGACUAUGGGUGAUGUAGAGUCAGGUAAGGUUAGGAGCACUUAACUAGUAUUUGGGGGAUAUAGAGACUGUUAAGGAAGGAGACUUGCUCAGGAGAGGGGGACAAUCAGGACGGGAUGGCUACAAGUUUCACAGGGUCAUUAGGGGACAUAAGGACACAUACAGCACAUGAAAUUGCUUUGAUAUAGCAGGACAUAUGGCAAACAAACAUUGGGUGGGUGGUUACAAAGCCAAAUUGUUAGCCUGUAGGCACAGAUACAGGCUGGUAAGGGGUAUAAUAACGGCUAUAUAUUCCAUAUUCAUCCCCAAGAGAUUCUCAGACAAUCCCACAUCCCCAGACUACUGGUACAAACAUGAGACAGCUGCAUUGCUCUAGUUGAAUCUGAUAUCAGACAGGAACUAGCAUGUGUCUACCUAGUAUAAAAUCUUUAUUUCAUGCAGCACAGACAUAACUGAUUACAGAACCAAAUCAUUUUCCAAUAGAUUAUGACUGUGAGGCGUUGUCACAUUCACAGGCCAAAUACUCUAUUUGACACUCUACUUGAAGCUCCUGGACUUGUAGUGUGAUCUAUGUGACAUUGAUCUGCUCCUACUACAUCAUUUUUUGGGCAUCCCUGGACUCUCCCUGGUGAGACGAGGACCCCCUAUUGGCGACAUUUUCCUAUUGAGGUCUACCGGACGACGUGUGGUUCCGGAUUGCGAAUAUUGC